AACCAGUCUUCUUGCCUGUUCUGGAUAUUUGUGUGAAUAAAAGCAUAUGCGAUCUUUUGUGACUCACUAUUUUCUUUCCAGUACCAAUGCUGGGUGAGUUAAAGCUUCUACAACUGGAGUGAGUUCCCUCUGAAUCCUUUAAGGAGGAUCCAUUGGAGGGCAAGUGCUGCCAGGAGCCACCACAGCUCCAGCUCCGAGAACAUCUAUUAAUGUUGCUGCAGUUCAAAGGCUCCUAGUUGGAUCUUGGCCAUGGGCCAGUUUCCCCCACAAGGCCAGUCAUUGCCAUCCUUGACCUUUGCCUCAGCUGACUCUUUGAUGCUCUUAGCUGAGGGCUUCCUGGGGCCCUCAAAUAUUUACUUAAAAAAAGUAGACCAUUCAAAGCAAGCCGGAAUUUCCUGGAUAAUGUAUCAGAGAAUCAUGGGAUAGGACCAUGGUUCUGUCUCUGGUUUCUGGACCUGAGGCCAUGAGUAAUGUGUCACUAGAGGUGAGGUUCUUGUAUCAGUACAAGAUAGACCAGAGUCAGAGUGAAAGCCUUCAGUAAUCAAGAAUGAAAGUCAAGGUUUUGAAGACAAUCAUAUACCCAUAUAGGAUCACAGUUCCAGCCAUAAACCUGUGACUCAAAGUUCAUCCAUGUUACUUCAGGAAUCAAUA
This 651-nucleotide non-coding RNA is filed under the name Neotoma lepida (desert woodrat). RNAcentral's name for it is "Eukaryotic small subunit ribosomal RNA". It matches the Rfam family "Eukaryotic small subunit ribosomal RNA", at positions 1 to 1078 of the family's 1831-position model. The record is from Rfam by way of RNAcentral. Lineage: Eukaryota; Metazoa; Chordata; Mammalia; Rodentia; Cricetidae.